ACUCAAAUGAAUUGACGGGGGCCCGCACAAGCGGUGGAGCAUGUGGUUUAAUUCGACGCAACGCGAAGAACCUUACCUGGGCUCGAAAUGCAGUGGAAGUCGGCUGAAAGGUCGGUGCCCGCAAGGGCCGCUGUAUAGGUGCUGCAUGGCUGUCGUCAGCUCGUGUCGUGAGAUGUUGGGUUAAGUCCCGCAACGAGCGCAACCCUUAUCUUUAGUUGCCAUGUCGCAAGACGGAACUCUAAAGAGACAGCCGGCCACAAGCCGGAGGAAGGUGGGGAUGACGUCAAGUCCUCAUGGCCUUUAUGUCCAGGGCUACACACGUGCUACAAUGGGCGGUACAAAGCGCAGCAAACCCGCGAGGGGGAGCCAAUCGCAAAAAACCGCUCUCAGUUCGGAUUGCAGUCUGCAACUCGGCUGCAUGAAGCUGGAAUCGCUAGUAAUCGCGGAUCAGCACGCCGCGGUGAAUACGUUCCCGGGCCUUGUACACACCGCCCGU
Molecule: ribosomal RNA, 496 nt
Filed under: uncultured bacterium
Lineage: Bacteria
Description: partial 16S ribosomal RNA
Rfam family: Bacterial small subunit ribosomal RNA
Source: RNAcentral